GAUGAACGCUGGCGGCGUGCCUAAUACAUGCAAGUCGAACGGAAAGACGAGGAGCUUGCUCCGCUCUCGUUUGGCGCGGGGGUGCGUAUCACGUGUGGAACAUGCACCUGACAGGCUGAUAUCUCCUCGAAAAAGGGGUUAUCAUACCAGAUAAUAUUUUGAACCGCAUGGUUCAUUGGUGAAAGGCGGGUUUGCUGGCACGUAUAGAUGGUUCCGCGCCGCAGUAGCUAGUUGGUAAGGUACCGGCUUACCAAGGCAACGAUGCGUAGCCGAGCUGAGCGGGUGAUCGACCACACGGGAACUGAGACACGGACCAGACUCCUACGGGAGGCAGCAGUAGCGAAUCGUCCGCAAAGGGCGAAAUCCUGACAGAGCAACGGCGCGUGAGUGAUGAAGAUCUUCGGAUCGUAAAACUCUGUUUUUGGUUAAGAACAAAUGUGUAAGUAACGAUGCACGUCUUGACGGUACCUAAUCAAAAAGCCACGGCUAACUACGUG
Molecule: ribosomal RNA, 497 nt
Filed under: uncultured bacterium
Lineage: Bacteria
Description: partial 16S ribosomal RNA
Rfam family: Bacterial small subunit ribosomal RNA
Source: RNAcentral